UGGGGAAUUUUGCGCAAUGGGCGAAAGCCUGACGCAGCGACGCCGCGUGUGCGAUGAAGGCCUUUGGGUCGUAAAGCACUGUCGAUCGGGACGAAAGCUCACCGACUAAUACUUGGUGAGGUUGACGGUACCGGUAAAGGAAGCACCGGCCAACUCUGUGCCAGCAGCCGCGGUAAUACAGAGGGUGCAAACGUUGCUCGGAAUGAUUGGGCGUAAAGCGCGUGUAGGCGGUCUAGUAUGCCGGUUGUGAAAGCCCGAGGCUCAACCUCGGAAGUGCAGUCGGAACUGCUAGACUAGAGUGCCGAAUAGGAUGGCGGAAUGCCCAGUGUAGAGGUGAAAUUCGUAGAUAUUGGGUAGAACACCGGUGGCGAAGGCGGCCAUCUGGGAGGUUACUGACGCUGAGACGCGAAAGCGUGGGGAGCAAACAG
This 428-nucleotide ribosomal RNA is filed under the name uncultured bacterium. Its description in RNAcentral is "bacterial SSU rRNA". It matches the Rfam family "Bacterial small subunit ribosomal RNA", at positions 355 to 775 of the family's 1533-position model. The record is from RNAcentral.